RNAcentral lists this ribosomal RNA (115 nucleotides) under Notechis scutatus (mainland tiger snake). Lineage: Eukaryota; Metazoa; Chordata; Lepidosauria; Squamata; Elapidae. The record is from RNAcentral.
AUUUUCUGAUAUAUUUUUUUGCCAAUAUGUAAGAUGUGUUUGGUGGAUCUAAGCAGAGUCAGGCUGGAUUAGUCCUUGGAUGGGAGACCACAAGGAAAUCCCAGGGUUGCAAGUU